UUUGUGUGGCGGCUUGUUCUGA
Molecule: microRNA, 22 nt
Filed under: Monodelphis domestica (gray short-tailed opossum)
Lineage: Eukaryota; Metazoa; Chordata; Mammalia; Didelphimorphia; Didelphidae
Description: mdo-miR-12297d-5p
Source: miRBase by way of RNAcentral